RNAcentral lists this ribosomal RNA (481 nucleotides) under uncultured bacterium. RNAcentral describes it as "bacterial SSU rRNA". It matches the Rfam family "Bacterial small subunit ribosomal RNA", at positions 30 to 507 of the family's 1533-position model. The record is from RNAcentral.
AUUGAACGCUGGCGGCAUGCCUUACACAUGCAAGUCGAACGGUAACAGGUCUUCGGAUGCUGACGAGUGGCGAACGGGUGAGUAAUACAUCGGAACGUGCCGAGAGUGGGGGAUAACGAAGCGAAAGCUUUGCUAAUACCGCAUACGAUCUCAGGAUGAAAGCAGGGGACCGUAAGGCCUUGCGCUCACGGAGCGGCCGAUGGCAGAUUAGGUAGUUGGUGGGAUAAAAGCUUACCAAGCCGACGAUCUGUAGCUGGUCUGAGAGGACGACCAGCCACACUGGGACUGAGACACGGCCCAGACUCCUACGGGAGGCAGCAGUGGGGAAUUUUGGACAAUGGGCGCAAGCCUGAUCCAGCCAUGCCGCGUGCAGGAUGAAGGCCUUCGGGUUGUAAACUGCUUUUGUACGGAACGAAAAGACUCUGGUUAAUACCUGGGGUCCAUGACGGUACCGUAAGAAUAAGCACCGGCUAACUACGUG